Molecule: transfer RNA, 98 nt
Filed under: Methylobacterium indicum
Lineage: Bacteria; Pseudomonadati; Pseudomonadota; Alphaproteobacteria; Hyphomicrobiales; Methylobacteriaceae
Description: tRNA-Val
Source: RNAcentral
GCCAGGGCGGGGCCGCGCCGGUCGCGGCCUCGACCGCCACGGGAUCGAGGCCGAGAUCGAUGUCGAGGGUGCCGAGAUCGUCGCCCCGGGCCCUGGCG